RNAcentral lists this long non-coding RNA (1988 nucleotides) under Homo sapiens (human). Its description in RNAcentral is "HSALNT0305086". Lineage: Eukaryota; Metazoa; Chordata; Mammalia; Primates; Hominidae. The record is from RNAcentral.
CCUACAGCUAUGAGGAAGUCCAGGAGGAGACGGGAGAAGCUGGGGAGGCUGGUGCUACUGCUGGAAGACAGGCCAAAGAGGAAGAAUGAAAAAAAAUUCCAGCAGGCCAUUGAGAAAGAACUUUGAACAACAAAUGUUUAAUAGGGAUUGCAGCAGUGUGAUGCAGUCCCCAACUUUGAUUUCCUGCUCCACACGAGAUCCUAGUGAACUGUCUCUAGUUAUUACUCCUUAGCUCCAUGUAGUUCCAGAUCCUUUCCUGUGAGUGGAUUUGGCUUGGACAGAAGAGGGAAGACUUAUGUGGAGGUGGGCGCUUGGCUGCCGCCACCAUUGUGGCCAUCUGGAAAGGGUGAAUCUUCGAGAGGAGAGCCCAGUGACUGUCGUGCAUUGCCUGGGACAGCCCAGACACCUAAUUCUGAUCAGACAGAAGUCCCUGAUCAGAUGAAAAGAAAAAGCAAAGAUUCUGUCUGUCCUGACCGCCCUGCAGGUUAAGCUGCCCUGCAGCCAGCAGAGUGCCUGGCAUACGGGAGGCACCCUGUGCAGCAGCCAGGGCUACUCGCCCAACUGGGAGGAGGCGGAUGGUGGGUAAAAGUGAGCACUGGGCCUUCCUGAUGUGAGGCGAGGAUGUGGAUCUGGGAGGAAAGACAAAUGAAGAAGCAGGUGGACAGCCCCAGCUGGGCUCCAGGUGGGGCCUGGGGUAAAGUGACCCUUCUGCAUUGCUUUCCUGCUCUGGGUACCCGUAACUGCUAACAGACCAGGGCUGAGUCCCCAGACAGCCUUCUUGUCUGGGGUUCAGUCUGUGCCACCCUCUCCAACUCACCUACUCUCUAUUUUCCAUCUGCACUGAGACCUUGUGAACCACCGUGAAAAAUGCUUCUCACUUCCAGUCCCAAGAGAGGUGGAGAGCCGCAGUAGAACGUUGCAGAAGGAGAGGCGGCUUCUAGCUGGGGAUAUGGGGGCUGGCCCUUGAGCAGGACUUUGCAGGAUGGGGUGGACAUCCAUUGCUAUAUAUUCUCCUGGUGCUGUGCUAUAGGACCCCCUACUGUUUCAGGAAUAAAGCCCAGCCCCUGCCAGGUGCUUGCAGUCCAGGGGGCACCCGGGUGAGUGGCAGUCAGGGCCAACACUGUGUGGUGGCAGGGCUGGGCUGGGAGCCUCACAUACAUUUUCCUCAUGAUCUUCCCCUGUGACCUUGGUGAUUUCCUGAGAUUUUUGUCAGUCCUUCCCGUUCUGCAAGUUGAUCAGUUUGGCCCUUUGGUUUUCAGAUUUUUAUGGAAAGAACUUCUCUCAUCCCUGCUUCAUAUCCUUUCAGUUCUGUCCAAAGGCAAAUCUCUGACGCAUUCCCACUCCGGCCAUCUGACGUGUGCUGGGUCACGAGGGCAGGCUGCAGCCUCCCUUGCAGUCCCUUGCCUUAGACGCCCGCGCCAGCCCAUUCAACCAUCACAAAUGCGCAGACAGAGCAGAAGGUUCCCAACAGGCUGCGCCUGUGCUGGACCACCCCCUUUCCUCCUUCCUUCAGCUGCCCCUCUUUCUGGAUGGGUAAAAGCACUUCCAUGUUUUCAGAGGCGUGGAGGGAGCCCGAGAAGAGCAGAUGUUGACACCACCAUCACUGCCUGCAGCAGUGAGACCAGGGGCACAGUUUUUGUUGAAAGGGUCGACCAGGAAGCACUUCCUUGACUCUGUCCUAAAGCCUCUGGAGAGCCCUUAAAUUUGUGGUCCUUGAAGCUAUUGUAAAGGUAUUAUUCAGGAACAAGAUGGGCAAAACAUGAAUAGGACAAGCUUUCUGCUCUCCAGGGACUCCCUUGAAGAUGUGUCACAACCCCAAGCCAGUAUGCCUGUGUGAUUUCAUCUUAGAUGGUAUCUUGGAAGCAAGACCUACCUGGACUUUUUAGAAAUCUAAUCUAAUCAUUUUCUGUCUUGGAGUAGGUAAGUUCCCAUUUGCUGUCAUUACAGACAUACUUCAAUUUGUUAUUAUUUUGCUACCAUGUGUUUUG